CCCUUAGAUGUUCUGGGCUGCACGCGCGCUACACUGACACACUCAGCGAGUCUCCUGGCCCGAGAGGGUUGGGUAAUCAUGUGAGCGUGUGUCGUGAUGGGGAUAGAAUAUUGUAAUUAUUGCUCUUCAACGAGGAAUUCCUAGUAAGCGCGAGUCAGCAGCUCGCGCUGAUUACGUCCCUGCCCUUUGUACACACCGCCCGUCGCUCCUACCGAUGGGGUGAUCCGGUGAAUGAUUCGGACUUCCGCAGUGCUAGCUACUAGCUUUGUGGAAGAAAGUCUUGUGAACCUUNUNACUUGANGGAAGGAGAANUCGUANCA
RNAcentral lists this ribosomal RNA (320 nucleotides) under uncultured eukaryote. RNAcentral describes it as "partial 18S ribosomal RNA". It matches the Rfam family "Eukaryotic small subunit ribosomal RNA", at positions 1470 to 1796 of the family's 1831-position model. The record is from RNAcentral.